CCUACGGGAGGCAGCAGUGGGGAAUUUUGGACAAUGGGCGCAAGCCUGAUCCAGCAAUGCCGCGUGAGUGAAGAAGGCCUUCGGGUUGUAAAGCUCUUUUGUCAGGGAAGAAACGGUGGGGGCUAAUAUCCUCCACUAAUGACGGUACCUGAAGAAUAAGCACCGGCUAACUACGUGCCAGCAGCCGCGGUAAUACGUAGGGUGCAAGCGUUAAUCGGAAUUACUGGGCGUAAAGCGUGCGCAGGCGGUUUUGUAAGUUUGUCGUGAAAUCCCCGGGCUCAACCUGGGAAUGGCGAUGAAGACUGCAAGGCUAGAAUCUGGCAGAGGGGGGUAGAAUUCCACGUGUAGCAGUGAAAUGCGUAGAGAUGUGGAGGAACACCGAUGGCGAAGGCAGCCCCCUGGGUCAAGAUUGACGCUCAUGCACGAAAGCGUGGGGAGCAAACAGGAUUAGAUACCCUGGUAGUCCACGCCCUAAACGAUGUCUACUAGUUGUCGGGUUUUAAUUAACUUGGUAACGCAGCUAACGCGUGAAGUAGACCGCCUGGGGAGUACGGUCGCAAGAUUAAAAACUCAAAUGAAGUAGAGCGUGAGACGNGCGACGACGACGACGAGGGAGGAGG
RNAcentral lists this ribosomal RNA (620 nucleotides) under uncultured bacterium. Its description in RNAcentral is "bacterial SSU rRNA". It matches the Rfam family "Bacterial small subunit ribosomal RNA", at positions 338 to 951 of the family's 1533-position model. The record is from RNAcentral.